AUGUCUUCCUCUUCCACGCCCGUGACGUUUGAGAAUCCGAGGAAGGUGGUGAAGAAGGUGCUGUCCUUGUCCCAGUCCGAGGGGGACGGCGCCACCGUCCGCCGGAGCAUCGGCGGUUGCGAGCUCCGGAACCUGGACCCGUUUCUCCUGCUCGACGAGUUCUCCGUCUCCAAGCCCGCCGGAUUCCCCGACCACCCCCACCGGGGCUUCGAGACCGUCACCUACAUGCUCGACGUACGGACGCAUGCUCUGAGCUUCUUCCAUGUUUUUUCUCAAAUUUACUCUGCCUCCAUCGUGUUGCCUGCAAGGUGUUUGCUGAAAUGCUGUUCUGUCUUCUACGUUCUGACGAUGCAUGCAGGGGGCCUUCACCCACCAGGACUUCUCGGGGCACAAGGGCACCAUCAGGACAGGAGAUGUCCAGGGCGCGGCAUCGUGCACUCGGAGAUGCCGGCGGCCGACGGCGUGCAGAAGGGCCUGCAGCUCUGGAUCAACCUCGCCUCCAAGGACAAGAUGAUCGAGCCACGGUACCAGGAGCUCAAGAGCAAGGACAUUAGCCAGGCUGAGAAGCAUGGUGUGAAGGUGCGGAUCAUCGCAGGGGAGGCCUUCGGGGUGCAGUCGCCAGUCUACACACGCACACCAACAAUGUACAUGGACUUCACAAUGCAACCAGGGUCGCAGCUCCACCAGCCGAUCCCCGAGGGCUGGAACGCUUUCGUGUACAUCAUCGAGGGGGAGGGUGUAUUUGGUGGGGAGGGCGAUGCACCGGCGAGCACGCACCAUUGCCUCGUGCUUGGUGCCGGCAACGGGCUUAGCGUGUGGAAACGGUCUGGCGCGCAGCUGCGGUUCGUGCUGGCGGCAGGGCAGCCGUUGAAUGAGCCAGUGGUGCAGCAGGGGCUCUUCGUCAUGAACUCUCGUGCCCAGAUCCAGCAGGCCAUGCAGGACUAUUACUACGGACGCAACGGCUUCGAGAAGGCCAGCCAGUGGAGCUCCGCCUGA
Molecule: ribosomal RNA, 996 nt
Filed under: Triticum aestivum (bread wheat)
Lineage: Eukaryota; Viridiplantae; Streptophyta; Magnoliopsida; Poales; Poaceae
Description: partial small subunit ribosomal RNA
Source: RNAcentral